GAGAGAGUGGUUUGUUGAAGAGGGAGGUUUUGUUGUGAUUCACUUGCGCUGGUUACACAGUCUCAAAGCUCAAAGAUCGGAAAGCUGAUUUAAAUUGGAUUGACAUUUGAGAAAAAAGACGCCAUGAUUGCUUAUCGGCUUUUUCUUCUGUAAUAAAGCUUUCGAGUUGAAGCCGUUAACUUCAAUGGCAGUAGCAACCCCUUUUAUCAUCUAAAAGUGCCAUCAUUUACUCCCUCAUGUAGAAUUUUAGUCAGCCAUUAUAUCUUUUAAAGUUUAAUUUUUUUUUUCUCCUCUUGCUUUGGUUAUCUGGUCCUUUCUUAUCUCUUACUUCUGGUCACAGAAUUAACAGAAAAUCCAGUUG
RNAcentral lists this unclassified non-coding RNA (361 nucleotides) under Hevea brasiliensis (rubber tree). The record is from RNAcentral. Lineage: Eukaryota; Viridiplantae; Streptophyta; Magnoliopsida; Malpighiales; Euphorbiaceae.